Molecule: ribosomal RNA, 1343 nt
Filed under: uncultured bacterium
Lineage: Bacteria
Description: 16S ribosomal RNA
Rfam family: Bacterial small subunit ribosomal RNA
Source: RNAcentral
GACGAACGCUGUCGGCGUGCUUAACACAUGCAAGUCGAACGGAAAGGCCCUGCUUUUGUGGGGUGCUCGAGUGGCGAACGGGUGAGUAACACGUGAGUAACCUGCCCUUGACUUUGGGAUAACUUCAGGAAACUGGGGCUAAUACCGGAUAGGAGCUCCUGCUGCAUGGUGGGGGUUGGAAAGUUUCGGCGGUUGGGGAUGGACUCGCGGCUUAUCAGCUUGUUGGUGGGGUAGUGGCUUACCAAGGCUUUGACGGGUAGCCGGCCUGAGAGGGUGACCGGCCACAUUGGGACUGAGAUACGGCCCAGACUCCUACGGGAGGCAGCAGUGGGGAAUAUUGCACAAUGGGCGGAAGCCUGAUGCAGCAACGCCGCGUGCGGGAUGACGGCCUUCGGGUUGUAAACCGCUUUCGCCUGUGACGAAGCGUGAGUGACGGUAAUGGGUAAAGAAGCACCGGCUAACUACGUGCCAGCAGCCGCGGUGAUACGUAGGGUGCGAGCGUUGUCCGGAUUUAUUGGGCGUAAAGGGCUCGUAGGUGGUUGAUCGCGUCGGAAGUGUAAUCUUGGGGCUUAACCCUGAGCGUGCUUUCGAUACGGGUUGACUUGAGGAAGGUAGGGGAGAAUGGAAUUCCUGGUGGAGCGGUGGAAUGCGCAGAUAUCAGGAGGAACACCAGUGGCGAAGGCGGUUCUCUGGGCCUUUCCUGACGCUGAGGAGCGAAAGCGUGGGGAGCGAACAGGCUUAGAUACCCUGGUAGUCCACGCUGUAAACGGUGGGUACUAGGUGUGGGGUCCAUUCCACGGGUUCCGUGCCGUAGCUAACGCUUUAAGUACCCCGCCUGGGGAGUACGGCCGCAAGGCUAAAACUCAAAGGAAUUGACGGGGCCCCGCACAAGCGGCGGAGCAUGCGGAUUAAUUCGAUGCAACGCGUAGAACCUUACCUGGGUUUGACAUGGAUCGGGAGUGCUCAGAGAUGGGUGUGCCUCUUUUGGGGUCGGUUCACAGGUGGUGCAUGCCUGUCGUCAGCUCGUGUCGUGAGAUGUUGGGUUAAGUCCCGCAACGAGCGCAACCCUUGUUCACUGUUGCCAGCACGUUAUGGUGGGGACUCAGUGGAGACCGCCGGGGUCAACUCGGAGGAAGGUGGGGAUGACGUCAAGUCAUCAUGCCCCUUAUGUCCAGGGCUUCACGCAUGCUACAAUGGCUGGUACAGAGAGUGGCGAGCCUGUGAGGGUGAGCGAAUCUCGGAAAGCCGGUCUCAGUUCGGAUCGGGGUCUGCAACUCGACCUCAUGAAGUCGGAGUCGCUAGUAAUCGCAGAUCAGCAACGCUGCGGUGAAUACGUUCCCGGG